Non-coding RNA from Camellia sinensis, 495 nucleotides. Lineage: Eukaryota; Viridiplantae; Streptophyta; Magnoliopsida; Ericales; Theaceae. The record is from RefSeq and is a predicted model, not a curated record.
ACCACAAACGAUAGACUUUCACCCUUGAAUGCCCAACAACCAUAUACCCAAAACAUUUUUUACCCUCUCAUUUUUGCUUCUUCCUUUUAUUGCUUUGCAGAUCUGAAGAAAGUCUUGGAAUUGGAUCAAUCAGAUAUCCAAGCUAGGAGAACCAUCCAACGUUUGGAGCCAUUAGUUGCUGAAAAGCGUGAAAGGAUGAAGCAAGAGAUGAUUGGUUUUAGAAGUAAAUUUAGUGAAAGGACAUGGUGAAUUCUCCAAGGUAGUGAAAACGAUGCAAGCAAAGGCCAGGCUAGUUUAAAUUGGUUCCAUCCCACCAAGUGAGUUGGGAAAACUGAAAGCUUAUCUAUUGAACACUAGAUCAGAUGGUUAGUUUUUCACAGAAUUGUAACCUAGCUGUAAUUUAGGGAAACUAUAUUUAAUAAUCAGUAAAUUCUGAAACUGGAAUCUUUAAAUUUUAUUUCUUCGCCGAGUUAAAAGGACCAUUAUUGUGUUUCA